Panicum hallii is the source of this 3682-nucleotide RNA transcript. RefSeq lists it as uncharacterized. NCBI's taxonomy places the organism in Eukaryota, Viridiplantae, Streptophyta, Magnoliopsida, Poales, Poaceae. The record is from RefSeq and is a predicted model, not a curated record. The transcript is spliced from 12 exons.
AAUCCCACCCCUCCCGUGCGAUUCCUACGUCGCUCUCCCGUGCCUCUCGCCCCUCCCGUAUGGUUCCCAUAAUCCCACGUCGCCCUCCCGUGCCUCCCCUCCCCUUCCGAGCUCUCCCCCUCCGCCACGCUCGACGUCACGGCUUUCGCGUGCCUCCCCUCCCCUCCCGAUUAGGAUAUGCAGACCUCGCCACCAUCUGCGAACAGAUGGCCGGCAUCGAGGGUGUGGAAGACCACCACGAGGCGCUACCCUAGACGCCGUCGAUUGCACCCAACGACACCAAGGAGAAACCUGUACGCCACUGCCGUAUACGUCGUCGGCCUGCAGGCCGGUGAGAUCAAGGAGGAAGAUCGUCUUCAGACUGAGGGAGGUGAGAAGUGAAACCCUAAAACAGAGUGUCUAGGCAACGAUCCUACCUCCUGCUGACUAGACGACGUGGGAUGCACCGCGACGACAGCAAGGAAAAACCCCCACGGCGACGACACCAGGGAAAAACCUCCACGCCGUCGGUCUGCACCCCGGCCAGACCAAGAAGAAAGAACGUCUGGACCCUGAGGGAGAGUUAGGUAAGGAUUGCUCCAAUCAGCCCAUACACCAUACUGUUGCCCAGCAAAAAAAAAGAUUUAUUGCCCAAAUUCGACUCGUGGUGCAGCAUCCUGAUCAGGGAUAGACCGCGCGUGAAGGCGAGCUGGAUCGAAUCAAGCCUAACUAGGUCAAACAUUGAUUCUACUUGCCGCUGCAUUGUAAAUUUGAAUCUCCUGGUCAUUUUGCUAGAUUAAUUAUGUGUUUAUACGUGACUUUGUUGGACCAUUGAGCUAUUCUGGUUUUCAGUAGUGCAAUAGAGGAACAGAGGAGGGGGAACCUCAUUGGUUAAUGCCUGCAAGACUUGUAGUUCUGUACGUUUCUCGAUUAAUGUGUUCGAUAGAAAGAAAAAUCAGAGCUUACGUUAUUAUUGUGCUAUUGGCUAGCUAUAGUUCUGUUUCUGGGUCUACUCAUAGUUAGAUCUUUUUAUAUAUAGUUAGAAAACAGUAUACCUAAAGAUAUUUGGUAAAAUGCAUGUAGAAUGGAAUGGACCUAUAUGGUGGCUGCAAUAUGUAAUUAGUAGUGGAUAGUCAUCCUUUAUUGAGAAUUUAUAUUAGGUUUCUAGAACAUAAUAUUAGGCGUCAGGUGUUGUGCUAUGGGAGUGCGCUGCACUUUGAUUAGUGGAGCCAAUCAAAUUAAGGUGAUGAAUCUAUAUUUCUGUAACACUGAAUUCAGAAGCAGAAGAUACAUGUUGUUUAUGCAUAUUGCUGCUCACUCACUUCACUCACCAUGAGGUGAUGUUCUUGGCUGUUUAACUAAUAUGGCUAUUACAAUGUGAGUGAUUUUCAUAAAUUACUCUUUUAAGCUUUGAUUGGUGAGUGAAGUGAGAUCUGAAAGUGUAAGUGUGGAGUUAUCUGCCAAGUUUGAUAACCUACGAAUGCCUUGUCAUUUGCAUCUUCCAUGAUAUUAUGCAUGUCAGUAGAAAAUUUGAUCGAAAGUAUCAGUCUAUCACUGUCUGAAAUAAAUGGAAGAGAAUGAAGGUUUGUUAUGUUACUGAAAUGAUCGAACAGCAUGGUAGUUAGUCUCAUUAAACUGCUACUACUGUAAUAUGAAAAGGUGAUAAGGAUACUCCCAUCUCUCUUACUUUGCAAUGCAUUACCAAUUCCCUUUCUAAAUUUAGUGACCAAUAAAUGGGUCAUGCCCAUGCCUUUUUUUCAGAUCUAGCGAUAGUCAUUAUCCUGGGAAAUAAGAACCUAGCUAAUGUAAAUAAAUUUAUUGAAGACCAUUGUUGGUUUAUUUUUUCUACUAUGUCCUUCUCGUUGUUUGUGACUUGUAUAUUUGUCUCCUCCUAGGUGUUCAAGUGGGCUCGGUUUCCAGAACCAUAUAGUAGCUGAACCAUAUAGUCUUGAGAUUGUUUCUGGUUUUAUCACAAGUUUGAUUAGCGGCAUCCACUGACACUGUUGAAUUCAUUUUGUUUGCGUCCUGUUCAGAGGUGCCGGACUGCCAAUUGCCAUUCCCACAAGGUGGUUCUGUGGGUUUUAAGAGGUAUGGGUAAAUCUAGACGAUCACCCUUCAGGGAUGUAUCAAACACAAUUGGAUCAGGUAACCAAGAACCUCAUGUCCCGAGUCCACAAGCAACAGAUCCAAAGGAGGCAAAAAGAUCUAAACACAGCUAAAGAGGAUACCCACUGGCUGCAUCGCAAUGAAUCUUAUGAACCGGUGGUCACGCGGGGCGCAGACGAGCUUGGGGCUCUGAGGAUAGAAGAGAACAAUGUGAUGCCACUUUUAGGUGUCACUCUGGACAUCCCCAGGUAUGGAGAAUUGACAUUUGCAGGUGACUUAACACCCAAUGAGACAGUUGGUACUCGGGACAUUCCCGGCCUUGGAUUGACUUUUGCAAAUAAUGGCAUAGCACCUAAUGAAUCAUGUGGAUCUCAGGUCAUCCCUGAGAUUGCCGAUUUGACUUAUAUCAGAUGUGGAAAAAAACCUGAUGAUGCAGGAGAUAAUAUUUGGAACAGACAACCCCGGGAAUCGUGUCACAGAGAAAGUAUCGCUUAGGACAACACAGGUACGUCUAACUUACUACACAGAUAUGUUUGUGUAUGACGGGGGACAAAUAAAUUAAAUUAUUGUUAUAAUUUUAGAAUUUCAUGCACCAGUUGAAAAUCAAGUGGUUGAUCCUAAUGAACACCGUCGUGAGAGGGCUAGAGCGCGAAGGGCAGCAAUGACUGCCAAGCAGAGAGAUAUAAUUAAUAAGCGUUGUCGAGAUGCAUAUCAUGCACACAAAGAGCCUAAGAAGACUAUGUCUGCCGAGGAGAAAAAGAAGAAAGUUAGUGAAAUAAAAAGAGCAUCACGAUGAAGAAAUAAAGAUAUUAGGUCCGAUACAUUGCACCCUGACUCUAUCGCAAUGGAGAACCCACACUUUGAGCCUACACCCCUUGAUAAACCACUAAGCGCAUGUGACUGGGAGAUCCCAGUUGUAAAAAGCACACCUGUUUACAUUCACGCAACCCUAGAGGACCCCCCUCACGAAGCUGAUCCGCCGAUCCUCGUUGGAAGAAAAAGGUGUUCCCAACAUGUUACCCCUGGCGUGAAGGGUAAACUUUGUUCUUUGCGAAUUAAACAGAUUGAGUCAACAAUUGGAUAGAGUAUGGAUAGAUCUCAUGAAUAAACAAGGUGUGAUCCACAGCCGACAAACGAAUCAGCUAUAACUAAUGCUUGUAAAACCUAUUUCUGAUAGAGUUAUUUUCCAACUCAAACACAUUGUCACAUAUCCAAUGUUACCGAUUUUAUUUUUUUACACCAAAGGAACCAAUACGACUGCAAAUAAAGAUCCUAUGCCCAACAACCCCUCUAAAACAUAUGCUCAUUACGCUGGCUCAACAAAUAAUACACAUGAUGCGGUUGACGAGAUGCAGCCAGGCAUGGUGGAGGAUGGUAAGUUUUAUGGACUCUUGAAUUCCACAUCACCCCUUUGUACUAAAAAAAUGGUGAGUGUGAUCGUGAGUCUAAUUAUUUCAUCGCAGAUAGUGAUGAGGAUAUCAUAUUUGAGGAUGAUGAUGAAGAGGACAAGGGGUACCUAUUUGCAGGACAAAAUGAUGCUGACGAAGAUGAUGAGGUUGAUAUUGGUGAUGAUGACCUUAAUGUGAUAGAGGUUCCA